CGUAGGUGGCAAGCGUUGUCCGGAUUUAUUGGGUUUAAAGGGUGCGUAGGCGGUCUAUUAAGUCAGUGGUGAAAUACUCUAGCUCAACUAGAGGGGUGCCAUUGAUACUGAUGGACUUGAGUACAGAUGAGGUAGGCGGAAUUGACGGUGUAGCGGUGAAAUGCUUAGAUAUCGUCAAGAACACCUAUAGCGAAGGCAGCUUACUAGGCUGUAACUGACGCUGAGGCACGAAAGUGUGGGGAUCAAACAGGAUUAGUUACCCUGGUAGUCCACACUGUAAACGUUGAUUACUCGCUGUGUGCGAUAUACAGUACGCGGCCAAGCGAAAGCGAUAAGUAAUCCACCUGGGGAGUACGCCGGCAACGGUG
Molecule: ribosomal RNA, 368 nt
Filed under: uncultured organism
Description: bacterial SSU rRNA
Rfam family: Bacterial small subunit ribosomal RNA
Source: RNAcentral